Molecule: ribosomal RNA, 777 nt
Filed under: uncultured bacterium
Lineage: Bacteria
Description: bacterial SSU rRNA
Rfam family: Bacterial small subunit ribosomal RNA
Source: RNAcentral
AAGGCGAUUUUCUGGCUCAAGACUGACGCUCAGACGCGAAAGCUAGGGUAGCAAGCGGGAUAGAGACCCCGGUAGUCCUAGCUGUAAACGAUGUAGACUAGGCGUUGGUGGAGUAAAUCCAUCAGUGCCGCAGCAAACGCGAUAAGUCUACCGCCUGGGGACUACGGCCGCAAGGCUAAAACUCAAAGGAAUUGACGGGGCCCCGCACAAGCAGCGGAGCGUGUGGUUUAAUUCGAUGCUACGCGAAGAACCUUACCAGGGUUUGACAUACAAGUAGUAGGGAACUGAAAAGGGACCGACCCUUCGGGGAGCUUGAACAGGUGCUGCAUGGCUGUCGUCAGCUCGUGUCGUGAGAUGUUCGGUUAAGUCCGCUAACGAGCGCAACCCUCGCUGUGUGUUACAAGUGUCACACGGGACUGCCGGUCAUAAACCGGAGGAAGGUGGGGAUGACGUCAAGUCAGCAUGGCCUUUAUAUCCUGGGCUACACACACGCUACAAUGGGAAGGGACAAUAGGUUGCGAAGCCGCGAGGCGGAGCCAAUCCAGCAAAACUUCCCUCAGUUCAGAUUGCAGGCUGCAACUCGCCUGCAUGAAGUUGGAGUUGCUAGUAAAUGCAGGUCAGCAAUACUGCAUUGAAUACGUUCCCGGGGCUUGUACACACCGCCCGUCACGUCAUGGGAGCUGGUAACACCUGAAGCCGGUAGCCUAACCCGCAAGGGAGGGCGCUGUCGAAGGUGGGGCUGGUGACUAGGACGAAGUCGUAACAAGGUAACCGUAA